AAGCGUCGUUCGGACCGCCUUG
Molecule: small nuclear RNA, 22 nt
Filed under: Arabidopsis thaliana (thale cress)
Lineage: Eukaryota; Viridiplantae; Streptophyta; Magnoliopsida; Brassicales; Brassicaceae
Description: snRNA_10576
Source: RNAcentral